RNAcentral lists this unclassified non-coding RNA (282 nucleotides) under Zea mays. RNAcentral describes it as "misc RNA Zm00001eb373550". Lineage: Eukaryota; Viridiplantae; Streptophyta; Magnoliopsida; Poales; Poaceae. The record is from RNAcentral.
CUGACUCUCGCUUGUGAAGACUUUGAUCCAUUGUAUGAAUUUGAUCAUAAUGUGGACAAUGAUCAUCAUGUGGCUGAUAAGGACACAAUGAAGAAAGCACUUGUGGCUGAGCCUGGAGUAGAAGGAAAAGAAUCUAAGACCCCUAUAGAAGUAGUUGCUCAAGUGUUGGCUUCAUCAAAAUUUCUUCAAAAUAUUGGUCUUUACCUGCCACAAAUAAAAGCGGCAAUGGUGGUGAUCCUACACGUGUGGCAGAGCUUGAAUCAGAGAAGCAAAACUCAUUAG